This 430-nucleotide ribosomal RNA is filed under the name uncultured Pseudomonas sp. Its description in RNAcentral is "bacterial SSU rRNA". It matches the Rfam family "Bacterial small subunit ribosomal RNA", at positions 354 to 776 of the family's 1533-position model. The record is from RNAcentral. Lineage: Bacteria; Pseudomonadati; Pseudomonadota; Gammaproteobacteria; Pseudomonadales; Pseudomonadaceae.
GUGGGGAAUAUUGGACAAUGGGCGAAAGCCUGAUCCAGCCAUGCCGCGUGUGUGAAGAAGGUCUUCGGAUUGUAAAGCACUUUAAGUUGGGAGGAAGGGCAGUAAGCGAAUACCUUGCUGUUUUGACGUUACCGACAGAAUAAGCACCGGCUAACUCUGUGCCAGCAGCCGCGGUAAUACAGAGGGUGCAAGCGUUAAUCGGAAUUACUGGGCGUAAAGCGCGCGUAGGUGGUUUGUUAAGUUGGAUGUGAAAGCCCCGGGCUCAACCUGGGAACUGCAUCCAAAACUGGCAAGCUAGAGUAGGGCAGAGGGUGGUGGAAUUUCCUGUGUAGCGGUGAAAUGCGUAGAUAUAGGAAGGAACACCAGUGGCGAAGGCGACCACCUGGGCUCAUACUGACACUGAGGUGCGAAAGCGUGGGGAGCAAACAGG